This 253-nucleotide ribosomal RNA is filed under the name uncultured bacterium. RNAcentral describes it as "partial 16S ribosomal RNA". It matches the Rfam family "Bacterial small subunit ribosomal RNA", at positions 524 to 776 of the family's 1533-position model. The record is from RNAcentral.
UACGGGGGAUGCAAGCGUUGUUCGGAAUAACUGGGCGUAAAGGAUGCGUAGGCGGUUAAACAAGUUAUAUGUUAAAUAUAUAGGCUUAACCUGUAGAAAGCAUAUAAAACUGUUUAACUAGAGUGCAGGAGAGGUAAGUGGAAUUCCUAGUGUAGCGGUGAAAUGCGUAGAGAUUAGGAAGAACACCAGUGGCGAAGGCGACUUACUGGACUGUAACUGACGCUGAGGCAUGAGAGCAUGGGGAGCAAACAGG